Molecule: small RNA, 67 nt
Filed under: Oncorhynchus tshawytscha (Chinook salmon)
Lineage: Eukaryota; Metazoa; Chordata; Actinopteri; Salmoniformes; Salmonidae
Also listed under: 1 other name
Description: Flavo-1 RNA
Rfam family: Flavo-1 RNA
Source: Rfam by way of RNAcentral
GAAUAGCCCUGAUGGAAGUGGCAUCCCACGCUUUUUGGCGUGGAUACAACGGACAGCAGGAGCAGAG